GACGAACGCUGGCGGCGUGCUUAACACAUGCAAGUCGAGCGAUGACGACCGAGCUUGCUCGGUCUGAUUAGUGGCGAACGGGUGAGUAACACGUGAGCAACCUGCCCUUCACUCUGGGAUAACCCCGGGAAACCGGGGCUAAUACCGGAUAUGAGCUCCUGUCGCAUGGCGGGUGUUGGAAAGUUUUUCGGUGCAGGAUGGGCUCGCGGCCUAUCAGUUUGUUGGUGAGGUAGUGGCUCACCAAGGCGAUGACGGGUAGCCGGCCUGAGAGGGCGACCGGCCACACUGGGACUGAGACAGGGCCCAGAAUCCUACGGGAGGCAGCGGUGGGGAGUAUUGCGCAAUGGGCGGAAGCCUGAUGCAGCGACGCCGCGUGGGGGAUGACGGCCUUCGGGGUGUAAACCUCUUUGAGCAGGGAAGAAGCGAAAGUGACGGUACCUGCAGAAGAAGCGCCGGCUAACUACGUG
This 467-nucleotide ribosomal RNA is filed under the name uncultured bacterium. RNAcentral describes it as "partial 16S ribosomal RNA". It matches the Rfam family "Bacterial small subunit ribosomal RNA", at positions 28 to 507 of the family's 1533-position model. The record is from RNAcentral.